GACGAACGCUGGCGGCGUGCUUAACACAUGCAAGUCGAGCGGUAAGGCCCUUCGGGGUACACGAGCGGCGAACGGGUGAGUAACACGUGGGUGACCUGCCUCUAGCUCUGGGAUAAGCCUGGGAAACUGGGUCUAAUACCGGAUAUGACUCCACGGCGCAUGUUGUGGGGUGGAAAGCCUUGUGUGGCUAGAGAUGGGCCCGCGGCCUAUCAGCUAGUUGGUGAGGUAACGGCUCACCAAGGCGA
Molecule: ribosomal RNA, 245 nt
Filed under: uncultured Actinomycetes bacterium
Lineage: Bacteria; Bacillati; Actinomycetota; Actinomycetes
Description: uncultured actinobacterium partial 16S ribosomal RNA
Rfam family: Bacterial small subunit ribosomal RNA
Source: RNAcentral